RNAcentral lists this ribosomal RNA (497 nucleotides) under uncultured bacterium. RNAcentral's name for it is "partial 16S ribosomal RNA". It matches the Rfam family "Bacterial small subunit ribosomal RNA", at positions 28 to 507 of the family's 1533-position model. The record is from RNAcentral.
GAUGAACGCUGGCGGCGUGCCUAAUACAUGCAAGUCGAGCGAACAGACGAGGAGCUUGCUCCUCUGACGUUAGCGGCGGACGGGUGAGUAACACGUGGAUAACCUACCUAUAAGACUGGGAUAACUUCGGGAAACCGGAGCUAAUACCGGAUAAUAUUUUGAACCGCAUGGUUCGAUAGUGAAAGACGGCUUUGCUGUCACUUAUAGAUGGAUCUGCGCCGCAUUAGCUAGUUGGUAAGGUAACGGCUUACCAAGGCGACGAUGCGUAGCCGACCUGAGAGGGUGAUCGGCCACACUGGAACUGAGACACGGUCCAGACUCCUACGGGAGGCAGCAGUAGGGAAUCUUCCGCAAUGGGCGAAAGCCUGACGGAGCAACGCCGCGUGAGUGAUGAAGGUCUUCGGAUCGUAAAACUCUGUUAUUAGGGAAGAACAAAUGUGUAAGUAACUAUGCACGUCUUGACGGUACCUAAUCAGAAAGCCACGGCUAACUACGUG